GAUGAACGCUGGCGGCGUGCUUAACACAUGCAAGUCGAACGGUGAAGCUCCAGCUUGCUGGAGUGGAUCAGUGGCGAACGGGUGAGUAACACGUGAGCAACCUGCCCCUGACUCUGGGAUAACAGCCGGAAACGGCUGCUAAUACCGGAUAUGCACCAUGAACGCAUGUUCUGUGGUGGGAAAGAUUUUUCGGUUGGGGAUGGGCUCGCGGCCCAUCAGCUUGUUGGUGAGGUAAUGGCUCACCAAGGCGUCGACGGGUAGCCGGCCUGAGAGGGUGACCGGCCACACUGGGACUGAGACACGGCCCAGACUCCUACGGGAGGCAGCAGUGGGGAAUAUUGCACAAUGGGCGAAAGCCUGAUGCAGCAACGCCGCGUGAGGGAUGACGGCCUUCGGGUUGUAAACCUCUUUUAGCAGGGAAGAAGCGAGAGUGACGGUACCUGCAGAAAAAGCGCCGGCUAACUACGUG
Molecule: ribosomal RNA, 469 nt
Filed under: uncultured bacterium
Lineage: Bacteria
Description: partial 16S ribosomal RNA
Rfam family: Bacterial small subunit ribosomal RNA
Source: RNAcentral